UUUGGCUGGCUGGGUGAAAAAUCAUUAGCCAGAUUUGUCUAGACUAAACGGUUCUCUGGUAGGACUACUGUUUUGUCAACAAUGAAAAAUCAAGAUUUCCGCUAAUUUUUUAUCUACUAAAUUAACAAUCUUUAGAAAAAAACUCGUGAAUUGCAAAUUCACAGGACUAAUGCAUAAUAUUCGAUCUAGUGAGUUUUGGCUUGAAGGCGGGAUUGAACCAUUUGAUUUUUCCCGCAAAAUGUUUGAAUAAUAUCAUCGAGAAAACAUAAGUUUUAUGGAGUAUUUCUAUAAGAACUACAGACAAAUUAAUACGGUACUCUAUUAUCUACUGAUCGCAGUUCUUGGCAUUUUAAUGGCCGACCGUGAUUAGGAAAUGAGCAAUAUUUCUCUUGCAUUUCAGCAGUCAAGCGGUUUGGCAGUAUUUUCUGUUUUUAUAAUUAAUUCAUAAUUAUUCAAAAGGAAGAAAACUUGUAAAUGAGAGUUUCAAUAGUGAAGGAAAUUGCUAGUGUUGGCAACUCGAGUGAAUGAUUUUUGGGCGUGAAAAUCCACUGGAUGGUUGAUCUGAUGAAAAUGGAAAUGGAAAUAACCGAAGUGGAAAUGGACGGCUAUGACAGCCAAGGAUGUCUCCAUGAGAUGUUUCGGAGACAAGCGAGGAAAACUCCCGACAAAUAUGCAUGUCAUUAUGUUGGGGUAAGUUUUUGUCUUUUUCAUUUUUUGGACUGUUUGACUAGUCCAGUAUCAAUGAUAGAUAGUUUACAUUCGAAUAUUUAGUACCAGAACUCAUUGAAUUCAAUAAUGAGACACAAUUUCCCAGUUUUUCAACAAUUUCUAUUAGUUAUUGAUAGCAUUUGUUGAAUAUGCAAGUAACUUACAUUGUUAUUGAGGAACGUUUCCAUAUUGCUUUUAAUGUACUUUAAUUCCUUUCCAUUAUUGUUUAUGAGAUAUGCAUAAUUACUAGUUUACUACAUAAUUUUCAUGCAUUUUUAUGAAGAUUAUUUUUCACAAUAAUAAGAAACUUUUUCAAAUUCAGUGUU
Molecule: unclassified non-coding RNA, 1034 nt
Filed under: Nilaparvata lugens (brown planthopper)
Lineage: Eukaryota; Metazoa; Arthropoda; Insecta; Hemiptera; Delphacidae
Description: uncharacterized LOC120349286, transcript variant X1
Source: RNAcentral